Molecule: ribosomal RNA, 422 nt
Filed under: uncultured bacterium
Lineage: Bacteria
Description: bacterial SSU rRNA
Rfam family: Bacterial small subunit ribosomal RNA
Source: RNAcentral
AAUCUUCCGCAAUGGGCGAAAGCCUGACGGAGCAACGCCGCGUGAGUGAUGAAGGGUUUCGGCUCGUAAAACUCUGUUAUUAGGGAAGAACAAAUGUGCAAGUAACUGUGCACAUCUUGACGGUACCUAAUCAGCAAGCCACGGCUAACUACGUGCCAGCAGCCGCGGUAACACGUAGGUGGCAAGCGUUAUCCGGAAUUAUUGGGCGUAAAGCGCGCGUAGGCGGUUUCUUAAGUCUGAUGUGAAAGCCCACGGCUCAACCGUGGAGGGUCAUUGGAAACUGGGGAACUUGAGUGCAGAAGAGGAAAGUGGAAUUCCAUGUGUAGCGGUGAAAUGCGCAGAGAUAUGGAGGAACACCAGUGGCGAAGGCGACUUGCUGGUCUGUAACUGACGCUGAUGUGCGAAAGCGUGGGGAGCAAACA